GGGCCGGGCGGGUGCUAUACAUGCAAGUCGAGCGGACAGAAGGGAGCUUGCUCCCGGAUGUUAGCGGCGGACGGGUGAGUAACACGUGGGUAACCUGCCUGUAAGACUGGGAUAACUCCGGGAAACCGGAGCUAAUACCGGAUAGUUCCUUGAACCGCAUGGUUCAAGGAUGAAAGACGGUUUCGGCUGUCACUUACAGAUGGACCCGCGGCGCAUUAGCUAGUUGGUGAGGUAACGGCUCACCAAGGCGACGAUGCGUAGCCGACCUGAGAGGGUGAUCGGCCACACUGGGACUGAGACACGGCCCAGACUCCUACGGGAGGCAGCAGUAGGGAAUCUUCCGCAAUGGACGAAAGUCUGACGGAGCAACGCCGCGUGAGUGAUGAAGGUUUUCGGAUCGUAAAGCUCUGUUGUUAGGGAAGAACAAGUGCAAGAGUAACUGCUUGCACCUUGACGGUACCUAACCAGAAAGCCACGGCUAACUACGUGCCAGCAGCCGCGGUAAUACGUAGGUGGCAAGCGUUGUCCGGAAUUAUUGGGCGUAAAGGGCUCGCAGGCGGUUUCUUAAGUCUGAUGUGAAAGCCCCCGGCUCAACCGGGGAGGGUCAUUGGAAACUGGGAAACUUGAGUGCAGAAGAGGAGAGUGGAAUUCCACGUGUAGCGGUGAAAUGCGUAGAGAUGUGGAGGAACACCAGUGGCGAAGGCGACUCUCUGGUCUGUAACUGACGCUGAGGAGCGAAAGCGUGGGGAGCGAACAGGAUUAGAUACCCUGGUAGUCCACGCCGUAAACGAUGAGUGCUAAGUGUUAGGGGGUUUCCGCCCCUUAGUGCUGCAGCUAACGCAUUAAGCACUCCGCCUGGGGAGUACGGUCGCAAGACUGAAACUCAAAGGAAUUGACGGGGGCCCGCACAAGCGGUGGAGCAUGUGGUUUAAUUCGAAGCAACGCGAAGAACCCUUACCAGUCUUGACAUCCUCUGACAACCCUAGAGAUAGGGCUUUCCCUUCGGGGACAGAGUGACAGGUGGUGCAUGGGUUGUC
RNAcentral lists this ribosomal RNA (1037 nucleotides) under Bacillus sp. YJB-1. RNAcentral's name for it is "bacterial SSU rRNA". It matches the Rfam family "Bacterial small subunit ribosomal RNA", at positions 37 to 1053 of the family's 1533-position model. Lineage: Bacteria; Bacillati; Bacillota; Bacilli; Caryophanales; Bacillaceae. The record is from RNAcentral.